RNAcentral lists this small nucleolar RNA (153 nucleotides) under Oryza sativa Indica Group (long-grained rice). Its description in RNAcentral is "snoRNA J3.5". The stretch from base 58 to 149 matches the Rfam family "Small nucleolar RNA R24". Rfam says of the family: snoR24 is a C/D box small nucleolar RNA which acts as a methylation guide for 18S ribosomal RNA in plants. The record is from RNAcentral. Lineage: Eukaryota; Viridiplantae; Streptophyta; Magnoliopsida; Poales; Poaceae.
UGCACUGUUGUGAUGAGCCUUAAUAUCUCGUAUUGGCUUCAUUAUUCUUUUCUAUUCACUGCUGUGAUAAGCCCUAACAUGGAAGAAGGCCCAGAGAUUGCUCCUGUUUUUCUGUGAAAUACUCCUGUUACGCUUGGCUUCUGAGCGGCAGCA